RNAcentral lists this transfer RNA (72 nucleotides) under Ictidomys tridecemlineatus (thirteen-lined ground squirrel). Its description in RNAcentral is "Spermophilus tridecemlineatus (thirteen-lined ground squirrel) tRNA". It matches the Rfam family "tRNA". Rfam says of the family: Transfer RNA (tRNA) molecules are approximately 80 nucleotides in length. The record is from Rfam by way of RNAcentral. Lineage: Eukaryota; Metazoa; Chordata; Mammalia; Rodentia; Sciuridae.
GGGGAUGUGGCUCAGUGGUAUAGCACUUGCCUAGCAUGUUUGAGGCCCUGAGUUCAAUCCCUGGUAUCACCA